This 384-nucleotide ribosomal RNA is filed under the name uncultured bacterium. RNAcentral describes it as "bacterial SSU rRNA". It matches the Rfam family "Bacterial small subunit ribosomal RNA", at positions 29 to 414 of the family's 1533-position model. The record is from RNAcentral.
AUUGAACGCUGGCGGCAUGCCUUACACAUGCAAGUCGAACGGCAGCACGGGAGCAAUCCUGGUGGCGAGUGGCGAACGGGUGAGUAAUAUAUCGGAACGUGCCCGGUCGUGGGGAUAACGUAGCGAAAGCUACGCUAAUACCGCAUACGAUCUACGGAUGAAAGCGGGGGAUCGCGAGACCUCGCGCGAUUGGAGCGGCCGAUAUCAGAUUAGGUAGUUGGUGAGGUAAAGGCUCACCAAGCCGACGAUCUGUAGCUGGUCUGAGAGGACGACCAGCCACACUGGGACUGAGACACGGCCCAGACUCCUACGGGAGGCAGCAGUGGGGAAUUUUGGGACAAUGGGCGCAAGCCUGAUCCAGCAAUGCCGCGUGCAGGAUGAAGG